UGUGAUGAUUCUGAGGCGUCUCCAGCCAUGUGGAACUGUGCUGCUGGGUUGGAACCAGAAGAUCCUGGUUGGAACUUUAGCCCUCCUUUUCUGGCUCUCUGAUCUGGGGACAUCAACACAGAGCUAACAGGUGUUGAGCACCUUUCCUGUGACAGAGAAAGCCUGCCUGGUAGAAGAGAAAGGAGCCAAGCAAAACCAAAAAACGGAUAUGAGAUGAAAAGGAAAGAGAGUAGAGUCCUGGUGACAUCAAGUCCUGGCUCUCUUUGGUCCGUAAUGCCCUCAUUCCUUUAGCUCCUCCUUCAAGCAGAGUAAAGAACAGAGGGUAACAAGCUGUGGGAUACACUUCUACAGUUUUACAUUGGUGAUCAGGGAAGGCUUUUCUACUAAGGUUAAAUAUGAUCUGAGAUCUGAAUAAAGUAAGGGAGUGAGUCCUGUAGAUACACAGGGGAAGAGAAUUCCAGGCAGAGGGAAUAGAAGGUGCAAAGGCUCUGAGAUGGGAGGGAGCUUGGUAUGUUCAAGGAAUUGCAAGUGCACCAAUUGUGUCUGGAGCUGAGUGAGAAAAUAAUAACUUAUCCUAGAACUUCUCUCUGGGGUGUCUCAGCUAUGGAGUUUCUCUCUGCCUGGACUAGAGUUGAUGUUGGGACCUGAACUGCAGCCCCACAGGCUUUGGUGCCUGUAGCUGCCGGGGGCUAGAAAGGUCAGAGACUAGCACUGAGGUUUUUUUUUUUUUUUUUUUUUUUUUGCUCUGUAAUCCUAUAUCUGUCAAUAUCCAAAGGAUAUGACCUCCUUCUAAUUAGCUUCCUCUAAUAACUCACUCAGGAGCUGUCAUAAACUACUCUUUCUACAAGGAUUCAGAGAAGGGAACAAUUCUGUGUGGCUAGAGUAGACAGAAAAGCUUCAGUGGGAAUGAUUCCUUUCAUUACAAUUGUUGAGGUGUGACAUUCCAUGAACACA
Molecule: long non-coding RNA, 954 nt
Filed under: Homo sapiens (human)
Lineage: Eukaryota; Metazoa; Chordata; Mammalia; Primates; Hominidae
Description: HSALNT0175305
Source: RNAcentral